CAAAACAACCCUGAACUGAAUUUUCAUGAUAUGCGAGAGUGUGCUGGAUCUAAUAUUCCUUCACCGGUUGAUGCAAGUAGUGCACGAGCUAUAAGAGGCCAAAAUCUACGACAUUCUUCUGGCUCAACUCAUGCUCCGAGUCUUGAAAAGGAAAAUGCGGAUGAUGCAAUUGGAAAUGGUGGCCGGAAAUCAAUUUGAUCUAUUAAAAUGGAUGGUGAAGACAUUUUGAACAAUUGUGAUAUUUAUUAUUAUUGAUACUAUAUAUAUUACAUCCGAUUUUGUGGAGUUUUUUGCUAGUGAGCUUCUUGAAGCAGUGGUUUAUUACUAUGGGUAGUACACAAAUUAUGUUUCUUUGUUGAAGUUUGUUUCAACUAUAUGCAUUUUAAUUAUUUUUA
Nicotiana attenuata is the source of this 395-nucleotide long non-coding RNA. RefSeq lists it as uncharacterized. The record is from RefSeq and is a predicted model, not a curated record. The transcript is spliced from 2 exons. NCBI's taxonomy places the organism in Eukaryota, Viridiplantae, Streptophyta, Magnoliopsida, Solanales, Solanaceae.